Molecule: RNase P RNA, 442 nt
Filed under: Nitrospirota bacterium
Lineage: Bacteria; Pseudomonadati; Nitrospirota
Description: Nitrospirae bacterium RNase P RNA component class A
Rfam family: Bacterial RNase P class A
About the family: Ribonuclease P (RNase P) is a ubiquitous endoribonuclease, found in archaea, bacteria and eukarya as well as chloroplasts and mitochondria. Its best characterised activity is the generation of mature 5'-ends of tRNAs by cleaving the 5'-leader elements of precursor-tRNAs.
Source: RNAcentral
GGAGUAGACCGGAUGAUCGCUCGUGGCGGUGCGCCGCGGGAGGAAAGUCCGGACUCCACGGGCAGGGCGCUGGGUAACCCCCAGGCGGAGUGAUCCGACACCGGCGCCACAGAGAAUAGACCGCCGAUGGCCGGGCGAGGAUCGCAUGCAAGCUGAGCUGCGGUCUCCGCUGGGCUCAGGCAAGGGUGAAACGGUGGGGUAAGAGCCUACCGCGUCUGUGGUGACACAGACGGCACGGCAAGCGUCGCCCGGAGCAAGACCAAAUAGGAGGGCAAUCCACACGUCCCGAUCAAAGGGGCAGUGUGGGAACGGCUGGCCCAGUCGUCGUCCUCGGGUAGGUCGCACGAGGCUCAGGGUAACCUGAGCCCCAGAGAAAUGAUCAUCCCCGUGUCGGACCAACUCCGAGACGGGACAGAAUCCGGCUUAUAGGUUUUCUCCAGCG